This 253-nucleotide ribosomal RNA is filed under the name uncultured bacterium. RNAcentral's name for it is "partial 16S ribosomal RNA". It matches the Rfam family "Bacterial small subunit ribosomal RNA", at positions 524 to 776 of the family's 1533-position model. The record is from RNAcentral.
UACGUAGGGGGCAAGCGUUAUCCGGAUUUACUGGGUGUAAAGGGAGCGUAGACGGCUUUGCAAGCCAGAUGUGAAAGCCCGGGGCUCAACCCCGGGACUGCAUUUGGAACUGUAUGGCUGGAGUGUCGGAGAGGCAGGCGGAAUUCCUAGUGUAGCGGCGAAAUGCGUAGAUAUUAGGAGGAACACCAGUGGCGAAGGCGGCCUGCUGGACGAUGACUGACGUUGAGGCUCGAAAGCGUGGGGAGCAAACAGG